Long non-coding RNA from Pelmatolapia mariae (spotted tilapia), 1869 nucleotides. RefSeq lists it as uncharacterized. The record is from RefSeq and is a predicted model, not a curated record. The transcript is spliced from 4 exons. Lineage: Eukaryota; Metazoa; Chordata; Actinopteri; Cichliformes; Cichlidae.
UAAGGGAAAAAACACUUUCUCACAGACGGUAACAGCGAAGCGGAUAAUAGUCUUGAGUAUCUGCUGGUCUUUGAAGCUCUGGAUUCUGGGACUGUUGGAAAAGGUGGUUGGAUGUUACACUCUGGAAAUGGAAUGAAGCAUUGACUGUAUAAAAGAUGGACGACGCGACACCGCCUCCUCCCAUUGUGCAAAAAUGAAGCCAAAAUAUCCCGCUUGUGGAGGCUGCCAUCUUGCAAAUUUGGAGCCAGAGUCUGCGCAGUAGUGACUUGAGGUGGAGCGACUGUGUAACGCUCCCGCCCACGCACCCUCUGGACGUGACUGCAAACACGCCCCCCUACACUUUUUACGUAGCCCGGCUGCUCGAGUUUUUUUGCUGGUUUACCGCGACUGACGACUCGUUUAAUUAAGAGUCCAUAUUAUAUCAACAGCUACAUUCACCCUGGAGAGAAACUAGUGAGGGAGACCAUCAGGACCAAGCUGGGUUUCCUGGGUACAGAGGUUUGGAGAAACUUCUUCCCGUUCUUUCAUCACAGCUGUCCUGUGCCAGAAGUUCUGUUGACCUACUGAAAGAGGCAUCAUUUAAGAAAAAACAGGAACACUGAAGCUCAUCGCAUUGAUCAAGCAGGACUCAUGAUCUUCACCAGCAGCUCCCUCCUAGGGCUGUUCAAUAUAACGAUAUAUAUCGGAUGACGAUAUAAAAACGUCUAUCAUUUCAUUUUACGCUAUCGUUUGUUUCGUGGUGUCGCAAAAUAAACUGUUUACGGCAAAAUUUUUUCAUCGUUUUGAUGGUCACUGUAGUGGCUAUAUUAAUUUCUUAAAGUUCUCUCUUUCUCUUAUAUUUUAUAUAACCACACUACGGACGGACAAGCACCUGUUUUUAUGCGUUGUGGUUAGCAACAACGACGGUAACAGCAUCGCGUGUCCGCUUGUUUAUGUUCCACAUAAACCUUUCACAAUAAAGCUCAAGAUCCUGUUGAGACUUUUCAAAAUAAACUGAAUCACGUGAAACAGCAGAUUAUUUACGGAUGAGAAGUGUAAAAGAGCCGCCAGGUGCUAAAAAAUAAACCUUAGACUAAAACGUAGAAACAGGCUUUUCCCCGCAGCACGCCGUGUAAUAAAUACUCACAAAGAAAACGGCGGCUGUUACAACUUAUGUCUAAAAAUGUAUAGUUUCAUGCAUCGGUUAAAACACUCGACUCCAGCUACAUGACGCGCAGCUGGAAACACUUCCCGCAAGACUAGCUUCCCGAGAUUCACAGAAUUUACAGAAAAUGUUACAUUUUUGUGAUUUAUAUCAUUAUCGGGACGUAGAAAGUUAUAUAUUUAAAAAUAUAUGAUCCUCUCUGGUUACUCUGGUAUGAAUAACUCUGAAUCACUUUAUGGUAAAUAACACACUAUCCGCAAAAAACUGUGAAAGAAUUCCAGAUGACAAGUUUGUAGUUCAACAUACAAGUGACGACCUUUGACCUUCAUCAGGUUUUAUUUAAUUGUGUUAGAGAAAAUCUCAUAUGCUCUUCAUGCACCUGAGUACAUCAAGUGUUUAAAACGGAAGCUGUGCAGGUCUGAGAUACAAACUGAGGUCCUGUUAAUGCUGAUAUAUAGUGACACAGUUACAUGAGUGAUCAAUCCUUUUGUUAUUUUGUCUUUAACUUUAUCAAUAAAGCUGCAGCUUUCACUACAGCACAUGUGGUACUUAAACCUUUGUACUGUUUUCAUCAGUUCAUUUUGCAGUUAACAUGUGAACAUGUUGGAUGAUCUGUCUGCUGUCACUCGAUGGGGCUGAGGUCUGAAUCUGAGGGCAGCUCCUGUAAUCACAAAGAGAACAGAACCAUCAAACUCAAAUGUAAAGUUUAUCCCUCAACAUUGAAA